This 500-nucleotide ribosomal RNA is filed under the name uncultured Bacilli bacterium. Its description in RNAcentral is "bacterial SSU rRNA". It matches the Rfam family "Bacterial small subunit ribosomal RNA", at positions 60 to 541 of the family's 1533-position model. The record is from RNAcentral. Lineage: Bacteria; Bacillati; Bacillota; Bacilli.
AGUCGAGCGGACCGACGGGAGCUUGCUCCCUUAGGUCAGCGGCGGACGGGUGAGUAACACGUGGGUAACCUGCCUGUAAGACUGGGAUAACUCCGGGAAACCGGGGCUAAUACCGGAUGCUUGAUUGAACCGCAUGGUUCAAUCAUAAAAGGUGGCUUUCAGCUACCACUUACAGAUGGACCCGCGGCGCAUUAGCUAGUUGGUGAGGUAACGGCUCACCAAGGCGACGAUGCGUAGCCGACCUGAGAGGGUGAUCGGCCACACUGGGACUGAGACACGGCCCAGACUCCUACGGGAGGCAGCAGUAGGGAAUCUUCCGCAAUGGACGAAAGUCUGACGGAGCAACGCCGCGUGAGUGAUGAAGGUUUUCGGAUCGUAAAACUCUGUAGUUAGGGAAGAACAAGUACCGUUCGAAUAGGGCGGCACCUUGACGGUACCUAACCAGAAAGCCACGGCUAACUACGUGCCAGCAGCCGCGGUCAUACGUAGGUGGCAAGCGU